Molecule: ribosomal RNA, 617 nt
Filed under: Delftia litopenaei
Lineage: Bacteria; Pseudomonadati; Pseudomonadota; Betaproteobacteria; Burkholderiales; Comamonadaceae
Description: partial 16S ribosomal RNA
Source: RNAcentral
CGAACGGUAACAGGUCUUCGGACGCUGACGAGUGGCGAACGGGUGAGUAAUACRUCGGAACGUGCCCAGUCGUGGGGGAUAACUACUCGAAAGAGUGGCUAAUACCGCRUACGAUCUGAGGAUGAAAGCGGGGGACSUUCGGGCCUCGCGCGAUUGGAGCGGCCGAUGGCAGAUUAKGUAGUUGGUGGGAUAAAAGCUUACCAAGCCGACGAUCUGUAGCUGGUCUGAGAGGACGACCAGCCACACUGGGACUGAGACACGGCCCAGACUCCUACGGGAGGCAGCMGUGGGGAAUUUUGGACAAUGGGCGAAAGCCUGAUCCAGCAAUGCCGCGUGCAGGAUGAAGGCCUUCGGGUUGUAAACUGCUUUUGUACGGAACGAAAAAGCUUCCCCUAAUACGGGAGGCCCAKGACGGUACCGUAAGAAUAAGCWCCGGCUAACUACGUGCCASCRGCCGCGGUAAUACGUAGGGUGCGAGCGUUAAUCGGAAUUACKGGGCGUAAAGCGUGCGCAGGCGGUUUUGUAAGACAGAGGUGAARUCCCCGGGCUCAACCUGGGAACUGCCUUUGUGACUGCWAKGCUASAGUACCGCAGAKGGGGAUGGAAUUCCGCGUGUA